UCGCUGGCCUCCUGGAGCUCCAGGCCCAUGUAGUGCAGCUGCUUUCUGGAGGAUGGGCUGACGGGGAUGUUCAGGCCUGAGGGCUCCGCACCGUGGGCACCCAGGUUCUACAGGAAGGACCCCGUUCUCCAGUGCCUCCUCCCAUUCUUGGGCAGCAGCUGGGACAGAGCGAGAUGGAGCCCAGGUCGACGAGGGUUCGCUCACC
RNAcentral lists this long non-coding RNA (205 nucleotides) under Homo sapiens (human). RNAcentral describes it as "HSALNT0068234". The record is from RNAcentral. Lineage: Eukaryota; Metazoa; Chordata; Mammalia; Primates; Hominidae.